RNAcentral lists this long non-coding RNA (325 nucleotides) under Physcomitrium patens. RNAcentral describes it as "long non-coding RNA (PPAT_LNC002134)". Lineage: Eukaryota; Viridiplantae; Streptophyta; Bryopsida; Funariales; Funariaceae. The record is from RNAcentral.
GUGGAUUGAAAUGUAAAUAAAAUUUUCAUUAAAUUCAAUAAUUCAAUUAAUAUUUAUUGAGGUUUUAAAAUAAUUAUAGAAAUUCAUGAAGAUUUACUUAGGAUUUUUUUGGAGUUAUUUAGGAUUUGAUUAGAAUUUGGUUUGGAUUUAGAAUUUGAUUAGGAUUUGAUUAAGUUUUUUUUUAGGAUUUAGGGUUUAAUUAGAAUUUAAUCUAAGAUUUCAUUAGAAUUUAGUUAGGAUGUAGGAUUUAAUUAGGAUUUGAUAUAGGAUUUGGUUAGGAUUUAAUUAUGAUUUUUUCUAAAGUUUGAUUAGAAUUUAAUUGGGG